ACGGGUGAGUAACACGUGGGCAACCUGCCCUUGAGACUGGGAUAACUUCGGGAAACCGGAGCUAAUACCGGAUAAUAUAAGGAACCUCCUGGUUCCUUGUUGAAAGAUGGUUUCGGCUAUCACUUAAGGAUGGGCCCGCGGCGCAUUAGCUAGUUGGUGAGGUAACGGCUCACCAAGGCGACGAUGCGUAGCCGACCUGAGAGGGUGAUCGGCCACACUGGGACUGAGACACGGCCCAGACUCCUACGGGAGGCAGCAGUAGGGAAUCUUCCACAAUGGACGAAAGUCUGAUGGAGCAACGCCGCGUGAGUGAUGAAGGCCUUCGGGUCGUAAAGCUCUGUUGUUAGGGAAGAACAAGUGCGAGAGUAACUGCUCGGACCUUGACGGUACCUAACCAGAAAGCCACGGCUAACUACGUGCCAGCAGCCGCGGUAAUACGUAGGUGGCAAGCGUUAUCCGGAAUUAUUGGGCGUAAAGCGCGCGCAGGUGGUUUCUUAAGUCUGAUGUGAAAGCCCACGGCUCAACCGUGGAGGGUCAUUGGAAACUGGGGAACUUGAGUGCAGAAGAGGAAAGUGGAAUUCCA
RNAcentral lists this ribosomal RNA (583 nucleotides) under uncultured bacterium. RNAcentral's name for it is "bacterial SSU rRNA". It matches the Rfam family "Bacterial small subunit ribosomal RNA", at positions 102 to 671 of the family's 1533-position model. The record is from RNAcentral.